Molecule: ribosomal RNA, 326 nt
Filed under: Leptolyngbyaceae cyanobacterium RM1_406_9
Lineage: Bacteria; Bacillati; Cyanobacteriota; Cyanophyceae; Leptolyngbyales; Leptolyngbyaceae
Also listed under: 1 other name
Description: bacterial SSU rRNA
Rfam family: Bacterial small subunit ribosomal RNA
Source: RNAcentral
CAAUGGAGAGUUUGAUCCUGGCUCAGGAUGAACGCUGGCGGUAUGCUUAACACAUGCAAGUCGAACGGGCUCUUCGGAGCUAGUGGCGGACGGGUGAGUAACGCGUGAGUAUCUGCCUACAGGACUGGGACAACGACUGGAAACGGUCGCUAAAACCGGAUGUGCCGAGAGGUGAAAUAUUAAUAGCCUGUAGAUGAGCUUGCGUCUGAUUAGCUAGUUGGUGGGGUAAGGGCCUACCAAGGCGACGAUCAGUAGCUGGUCUGAGAGGACGAUCAGCCACACUGGGACUGAGACACGGCCCAGACUCCUACGGGAGGCAGCAGUGG